Molecule: unclassified non-coding RNA, 2550 nt
Filed under: Hevea brasiliensis (rubber tree)
Lineage: Eukaryota; Viridiplantae; Streptophyta; Magnoliopsida; Malpighiales; Euphorbiaceae
Source: RNAcentral
AAUAUAAUUUUACCAAACACUUAACAUAAAACAGCUAUCAUCAGCUAACAGUUAUCAGCUAUCAGCUAACAAUAACAUCUAUCAGCUAACAGCUAUCAGUUAUAUUCAGCAAUUAAACUAAACAGGCCUUUAGUUUCACAUUGGACGGUCCAGUUCCGAUUCCAAACCAGACUAUGCCAGGGUCUAAAACCAAAGUAGCAGCACCAGAAUGAGUGCUUAUGAGUGUAGGUGUGCAAGCAAAACAAAUCAAGAUUCAUUUUACUUCCUCGCAAAGAGGUCUAGAUCAGCCUGAAUUUUCUCACCACAAGGUUUGCCAAGCUCUCUUCCAAAGAUAUGGAGGGAGUACAUUCGAUUAAUAUGACAUACUGAUAUGAUGAUCUCCCAAUUGAGCAUCAAUAAAGAUGGAUAGUAGUAGCCAAUAUGAAAUUUGGACAUACCUAGUGCCUUCCAAUAAGGGACAAACCCCUCGUUUUCCAAGAGGCAACACGAUAUGAAUCACAUUAACAAAUCUAAUCCAAAAUACUUGUAAAUUCGAUAUUCAUUUAGUUUGGCUCAAAAAUUUUCAAGGCAAUAAUGAUAAUUUCAAUGACCAUCCAUAUCAAAUCUCAAUAUUGAUGGGUCUCUAUCUGUCCAACCAUUGACCUAUGAAAUAUUGUUAGAGGAGCAGCUCACUUGUUUUUCUUUGGUUCCCCUGCAUAAUCAUUUAUUAGAGCUUCAACAUCUUUCCAGAACAAACCUUCCACUAAAACGCCAUCCUUGGUGAACCAUUGGGUUACGCUCUUGGUAAACUGCACUGGUUUUCCUGCAGAAAUUGAUUUGGGAUCUGCACUUGCUAUGCUAAGUGUGUAGUCAUCUGAAAAUCUUGGCAAUUUGGAAGAGAUCACCAAACCAGUGCUGGUGUAAGAUCCCUGCAUAGAAAAAGAUUAAUAAUUAAUUAAAAUGAGUUUGUAUCUGUCUUAAAGCAGAAUAGGGUUCAUGUGUCAGUUGCACAAAACAAUAGUUCAUAAAUAACUAAGCCAAUACUUCUCCCCUAUUAAUUAUUCUGCGUUUCAUUUUUCUGCUGUUAUUAUAAUCUUUGGUUCCUUAUUCUACCAGAAAUUUAGCCCCAGAUCAUGUCCACAAUUGUCAUAGAUUUUGAUGUUGUGGUUCUUCCUCUCAUCCAUUUCAGCAAGCAAGAACCGGGAGUUGUAUGAGUUUCUGGGCAUAGAUUCUUUCUCACAGGAACCAUGAAAUCCUCCCUACGAAGGACAAUGGUUAUGUACCCGACUUGAGCAGUUUCCAAGUCAAUGGCCUUGAUAUGGAAAAUCAUAAGCUCCUUUCCCUUUUGAGUGGUGGCUGGCUUUAGUGUGAUUGAGUCCACUCCUUUCCUUACUUUAGAUGGUUCUGAGCACUGGCUGUGAAAAUAUAUAUGCACCAACUAUGAUUGGGAACUGGCCCUUUUGAGCUAGAUUUUAAAGUAGACAUAGGUUCAUAAGAUGCAAGCUUCUAGGAAUCAAAGAUUCCAUCAGCAAUGUCAGGCAUCACUUAUGCAAUGUCAUGAGCAGGUUACUUGCUUCUUACAUGACUCAAAGAAAGGGAUCAAUCAAAGGAUACAGCCAAGGAAAAUAAAUUUUUUAAGGACUGAAAGCUCUUUGAGAGCGUUAUUUUCUCAUAUGCAUGAGCUAGCAAAACAAGAUCUCCUUCUCCAGUAUAUUGUUCCUAUUUUCUUUCUUGUUUAAUUUAUGUUAAAUGCCUCUUUCCUUCCGUAACCUUAGGACAAAAAGAAAAACAACUUUACACUGUCUCGGCAUCCCCAACUUUAAAGAGAAGCAAAUAUUUGACAGCACAGAGGGGCAAUUAAGAAAGAAAUUAUGUGAAAUAUUUGACAGCACAGAAGGCCCAACUACCAUUAUAGUGUCUUGUAAGUUUUUCACCUUCCUUGAAACAAGCUUAGGGUCAUUACAAGUUGCAAAAACAUACAACAAACUUUUGAAGGAUGAGACCUAGUUCUCUAUUCCUACUAUUUGUGGGCUGGAAUCGUCUUUUUAUUUUCAAUUGAUUCUUCUGGAUAGAAUGGGAUUCAAAGAAGCAUCUUUCACCCAAAUGAGUUACGCAAAUUCAAAGGUGAUGCAGUUUUCAGGUUCAUUCUAGAAACACUGAAAUGGCAGGAUGGUUAAAUAAAAAGAAAAUUGUGAUAUAAUAACUCAAAACAACUACAACGACAAGGAGAGGGUAGGGACCCUUAGAAAAUGUUCCUUAACUCAAAAAGAUGGAGAGGGGAAUAUAUAUAUAGACACACACCACACACAGAAAGAGAGAUUAUAUGUUGAUAUUGGUUCAGAUCAAAACUAACAAUAAUAGCAUACUAAUUUUAAUAACCAUCAACCAAGAGCAUGUGAGAUUUAAACCAGUAUGCACAUAUGCAUCCAUGUGCAUGGUGAUAACAAUGAAGAAAAACAAAAGAACAAAGAACAGGCAACAACACAGAAGGUAUAGAUUGUGGUCCUCCGUCCUCCAAGGGUAAAUAAGAAGAAACAGACCCCCUCACCCCCCUCUCUCUCUCUCUCUCUC